This 836-nucleotide ribosomal RNA is filed under the name uncultured bacterium. RNAcentral describes it as "bacterial SSU rRNA". It matches the Rfam family "Bacterial small subunit ribosomal RNA", at positions 82 to 949 of the family's 1533-position model. The record is from RNAcentral.
UGGGUUUAGACCCAUGGCAGACGAGGUAGGAACACGUAGGUACGUACCGGAGAGUCAGGGAUAACCCGGCGAAAGUCGGAAUAAUACUUGAUGGUCCCGCAAGGGUAAAGAUUUAUCGCUCUCUGAACGGCCUGCGUUCUAUCAGCUUGAUGGUGAGGUAACGGCUCACCAUGGCUACGACGGAUAGGGGAGGUGAGAGCCUGACCCCCACCGAUGGAACUGAGACACGGUCCAUACUCCUACGGGAGGCCGCAGCCGAGAAUCUUCCGCAAUGGACGAAAGUCUGACGGAGCGACGCCGCGUGGUGGAUGAAGCCCUUAGGGGCGUAAACACCUUUUAUGAGGGAGGAAGUUUAUUGACGUUACCUCAUGAAUAAGGGGCUCCCAAUUCUGUGCCAGCAGGAGCGGUAAUACAGAAGCCCCAAGCAUUACCCGGAUUCACUGGGCGUAAAGGGUGCGUAGGCGGAUAUAUUAGUCGAGUGUUAAAUUGUAGGGCUCAACCUUACAGCCGCAUUCGAAACGGUAUAUCUAGAGGACGUGAGAGGUGAACAGAACUCUCGGUGUAGGGGUGAAAUCCGUUGAUAUCGAGGGGAAUACCAAAUGCGAAGGCAGUUCACUGGCGCGUUCCUGACGCUGAGGCACGAAAGCGUGGGUAGCGAACGGGAUUAGAUACCCCGGUAGUCCACGCCCUAAACGCUGUCUGCUGGCUUUUGGGAGAAUCGACCCUUCCAGAGGCGAAGGUAACCCGUUAAGCAGACCGCCUGGGUAGUACGAGCGCAAGCUUAAAACUCAAAGGAAUAGACGGGGCUCGCACAAGCGGUGGAGCGCGUGGCUUAA